ACUCUGGUAUCCUCGGUUCAAAAGAACUACACCAACCCUUUCCGAAUUUGGUGGUAAAAGUUUGAACGGCUAAAAUACUUCAAGGGGAGCCUUGUGGAAAGAUACGCUGACGCCAGAGA
This 119-nucleotide ribosomal RNA is filed under the name Monomastix sp. OKE-1. Lineage: Eukaryota; Viridiplantae; Chlorophyta; Mamiellophyceae; Monomastigales; Monomastigaceae. The record is from RNAcentral.